AUAACACACACACUGAUCUCAACUUAUUGAAUAUCCGGACGUAAGUUAAAUACUUAAAUUUAUUUUUGAAUAAACUCACUUGUUCAUAUGCAUAUUCUUUCCCUUUUUUUCUUCUUUUUCUUUUUUUUUUUUUUAUUGGAUUUUCAGAAUUGACAAACAAACACCUGUUUAUAAAUAGCAAAUCGACGUCACUACCAUUUAAUUAUAAUAUAAAUUUAGGAUACCAAUGUUACUGGAAAUACUCGAAUCAAACAUAUUUACAAAGCUUGCAAAGUCAAAUUCUAAUAUUAUUAUGACAUAUUCUAAUUCCGAUUACAUUUCAAUAUUUGUCCAACUGAAGUUUUAACCCAUUUUCUAGCAUAUAAUAGGUUGCAUUGCUUCUUCAGAAAUCAUAGUUGUUGCUUCCAAAUGAAGCCGUUGCAAUUUAUGUAAACCUGUUAAAUAUUAUAUCUAAAUUUUCAAAAGAAAGUUUAGCCUUAAUAUUACUAGGAUAUGUAAAAGGAUUACGUAGUUUUACAGUAAGAAGCACAAUGAUGCUAAGUGGUAAUUUAUUUCUGACCCACAUAGGAUUUCAAUCAACAUGACAUAACAAGACUACGGUACAAAUAAACAAAUCUUUGAACACUAUUUAAUAUUUUUUCACCAAAUAUUAUAAAUGUAAAACUUCAAUUGAUAUAUAAGAUAAACCUAACAAUGACUUAAACCUUUAAUGUUGAUCUUUAGUUGUUAUAAACACACAAUCACUAUGCUCCUUGUUUUUUAACCUACGUUUUUUUAAAUACCAUUAUACUAUGACACACAAACUGAUCUCCACUUAUAGAAUAUUCAAACAUUUCAUUUUUUAGUUGAACGCAUUUAUUCAUAUUAUUACAUGAAACUGUGCAUAUCGUCAGAGAAACAUUUAUGCACUACACAUACAUUUGUAAAUUCAAUUAUCAAUACUAAUAGUAUAGCUAUGAACGAAUUAAGAAAAAAUUCAUGGAAGCCAUAGAUUUGUUGGAAAUAUUCACACGGCCCAGGCCAUGUAUAUAUUUACAACAAAUCUAUGGCUUCCAUGAAUUAUUUCGAUUCUAAUAGGACAAAUAAGUUCAUUCAAAUACUGAAGCGAGGGUGGGUAUGCCGUGUAUGUAGCUGUUCUUUUUUACUCCUUGUUAGAUAAAGCUCAAAUAUUCUCAUAAAUCUUUAGCUUGCAUAGUUUAGUUCGUUAAUAACCGCUUGAAAAAAAUAUGUUUAAUUCUCAAACCCAAUAUUUGCGAUUUUUAAUUUACAUGUUUUCUCGUAACCUACUGUGAAAUCUAAAAUUGACAUUUCGUAACGAAGGAGUUGCCAUGUUGACUAGCUGAAAUCAGUUAAGAUGCAAAUAAUGCAACAGAAUAGAAAAAAAAAUAAAACCUACCUUAGAAUUCCAUUUUAAUACAAUAUUUUACGAACUUCGAUGGUUACAAAAUAGUGUUACAUUUUUGUGACAUAAAAUCGUAACAUAAAUAUCAAGCUUAUUUUCAUCCCUUAAUGAACCUCUGAUUGUGGAGAAAGUUGUUCCAUGAUGAAAUUGACAUUUCACAAAAUAUAGCUGUGUUACUAUAUUUAGGAAAUAAACACAACUAGUUGCAGCAUAUUAAUUCUUUUUAUUAUGCAUCCGAAUAAGAAUAAAAGUUCUUUUGUCCUUUGUUUUAUUACAAUUUCUAAUACAAUAAAAUCGGCAAAGCGUUUGCAAAUAGGUUCAAAUACAUGUGGAUUUACGUGGGAGGUAUAUUGUAACAUCUAUUAUUAUGUAUAUCUCUGAGUCUGCGCUAAGUAUAGAUAUAUCGAGAAUUUUCACACGGUGUUGUGAACAAAGCGAAAGAACCACGUCAUAUUAGAAUUGAAGGUUUAAUUACUUUUAUGGAUUUUCAAGAGACCAAGUCAAGUUUAAAAAUCAGACGUCUUUAUAUAUAUUAUUUUGAUUAUAUUUGAUAUUAAGGUAACUUGACCUUCUAGUACACAACUAGGCACCAACACCAUUUGCGACAAUGUCGACGAAAUCAGACAGAGUAAUAAUACGGUAUGGACCAUACGGAUCCUGAGGGGUAUUUACACACAAAGAAAUGCGGUUGAAAUCGUUAAUAAGUAAGUAGGAAAAACAUAUGAACAUAAAUUAUAUAUACUAUAUCCAAAGAUAAACAUUGUUUUUUUAUUAUCAAUUUAUUGCAAUAAAAAGUAAAAUCACAAGCUCAUACACAUCAAACGAAUGGAUAAUAACUGUCAUAUACCUGAUCUAGUUCAGGCAUAUUCUUAUGUAGAAAAUUAUGGAUUAAACAUGGUUUUAAAGCUAGCUAAACCUCUCACAUUUAUGACAGUCGUAUGACAGAAAGUAUCAUCAUGAUGUUCAACCAAGGAUUGUAUUAUAUAGAAAAAUUGUGUGGUAUUAUUGACAAUAUAACUAACUUUUAAUUGCUAUGGACGUAGAGAUGUAGGCAACCGUAGGUCUCUGUACAUUUACCUGCAAUGAAACAAACAACUCAUACCAUAUUCUAUGCUAUAGAAAGUUACGACAUGAUAGAAUGUGAAACAAUUCAAACUGUCUGAUGUAUUUAUAAACAAAUUAACGGAUAGUAGAAAACGAAACGAAUUUAUAUCACCAUCAAUAACAUCAUCAAAUCCGAUGCUCAGAAAGGAUCAACAAUCAAAAAAAAAUUAGAGAGGAAUGUUUCAUACGGACAAAUCUUUCGAUUUUAGUCUCCACUGUAAAAGAAAUAUAACAUAAAAAUCUCUUAAGCUUGCUUGCUUGUAGUGGAUUCAAGCUGUAAUGCUGUUAUAAUGUGCUUGCUUACAAUUUACGUUAAUUAUACUACUCAUGACAAUUAGGAAACCAAAUUUAAAUAUUAAUUUCAGAGUAUCUGGAAAACAUGGGAUUAGAAACUCAACUGGUUCAGAUCCAACUCAAAGAGGUUCUUAUAGUUAUAGUUAACGGCAAAACAGUAUGGAAAGGGAACAUAAAAUCUCUUCCUGUAGGCAAGUUUUUUUUUUUUUUAUAAAAUCACCAAAAAAACCCUACCUGUUCUAUGAUACAACAGAAACGAAAAUUUUAUUUUCAUCAGAUCGACACCAUUCACACAAAUUUCAAAAAAAGACGAAAGACACUAAUCCGGUCAUACAAGUCCAGCUUUAGUGAAAACUAUAUGAAGCAACCAUUAAACAAGUAAAUCAGGUUUUCCCCGAUUAAAUAUAAAAUCCAAAGGAUUUAAUGUAAAGACGUCAUUAUCAGUCUAAGGAAAGCAUGAAAAAAUAAAUGCAAUAGUAGUAUAUCGCUGUUCAUACGUCAUAAUCGAUAGAGAACAAUCCGGACAAAAACAGGGAAACAUUAUGAGGACACAAUGGGAGAGCACAAAACCAGAAAAAAAAAAAAAAACAACUGCCAACAUACAUAGAUACAGACUAUUUGAUAACAAGUGUCAUACCGUAUAGCGGGUUAUUUUUGCGGGUGUAAAAUUUCACGAUUUUUAUUGAAUAAGGUAUAUGAAAUAUUCUGGCGGUUAUUAUUUUGGCGGAUUCAAAACCUUUGCAUGUACACUUUUAAUUUGGCGGAAUUUAUUUUUGCGAUUUUGUUCUAUCCUCGAAAAUAAACGAAAAUUUUAUACCCGGCGAAAAUAACCCGCUAAACGUUUGUUUUUGACUUGGUACAGGAUAUUUAAGUAGAAAGGUUCUGUUUCAAACUGGUUUUAUGACAAUACAAACCUCUCGCUUAUAUGGGAAUGUAAUACAAAUAUUGUUUAAAUAACAUCAUUACGUGACAGCAUGACCGUGUCCAUUGCGAUAUGGUAUAGCAUAAAUAUGUGUUCAUAACUGGUGUUAGUUAAACACAUACAUAGCCAUGUUUUUAUUCAAAAUGAAUGCUAGUACCGAUAAAGACGAUAUCACAAGACAUUGGUUAGCUUCUAAACUUUAAAACAAUUUUUAGAAAAGUUAAGACAUAUUUCAAAUCUGACCAGUUUUUCACAAUAAAAACACUGUUUGAUUGAAUUUUAUCAUCAAAAUUAGUGUCAAUAGAUAUUCGCACAUAAGUAUAUAUAUCUUUCUACAGGUAUUCUUCUUUAAACGACAUAAUUUGAAAAAUAAAUCAUUUAAACCAGAAAAUACAAAAAAUUGUCGAAGACAUUUUCAUAACCUUCGCCAGAUAUUCAGUGGUAUAAACUCAUCAUAGAUACCAGGAUUAAAGUUUGUAUUUACCUUAGAAACGCGUUUCGUCUACAAAAAACUCAUCAGUGACGCUCGAAUCCCCCAAAAGUUAAAAGGCAAAAUAAAGUACGAAGUUGGAGAGCAUUGAGGACCAAAACAUGUUUUACAAAGGACUUGCUUUAUAUUCUUUAUUUUCAUUCCAGGCAGUUAUCCUGAGACUUUUACUACAUGUUCAAGCAUUCUUCGAAGUGUUUCUUCUGCAAUAAAAUAGCAUGCUAUUUUGUUAACUUUAAUGACUAUGACCGUAUGAAAAUGCUAUGUGAAAGCUUGAAUAUUGAAAACAUAGUGUUUGAUGUUGGUAUAGACAGAAAAGUAUAAUCGUAAAACAUAGUUUGCUUUGUUAUUAUUAUGCCAACGCAUACAAAAAAA
Molecule: long non-coding RNA, 4584 nt
Filed under: Mytilus galloprovincialis (Mediterranean mussel)
Lineage: Eukaryota; Metazoa; Mollusca; Bivalvia; Mytilida; Mytilidae
Source: RNAcentral